ACCUAACAGGAUUCUUUCUUAAAAUAGGCCAGGGUGCAUCUGAUCUCUGAAGCUUAAGCAGGGUCGGCCCUGGUUAGUACUUGGAUGGAAGACCACCUAGGAAGACCAGGUGCUGUAGGCA
Molecule: non-coding RNA, 121 nt
Organism: Pteropus alecto (black flying fox)
Lineage: Eukaryota; Metazoa; Chordata; Mammalia; Chiroptera; Pteropodidae
Source: Rfam